Molecule: long non-coding RNA, 372 nt
Filed under: Camarhynchus parvulus
Lineage: Eukaryota; Metazoa; Chordata; Aves; Passeriformes; Thraupidae
Description: lncRNA (ENSCPVG00000013231.2)
Source: RNAcentral
CGGCGACAGCGGCUCGGCAGCCGGGCCACAGCCCCGCCGGGCUCCGCGUCCGCCUCUGCAGGCCGGGAUGUGCCGGGGGAGCACCGGGAGGGCCCCGGGGGAUGCUCCAGGAUUGUGCCAGGAUUGCCCCAGGAUUGUCUCAGAAUUGUCCCAGGAUUGUCUCAGAAUUGUCCCAGGAUUGUGCCAGCAUUGUCAGGAGUCAUUUGAUGCCACUAAUCAUGGCUGUGAUCCGGCACGCCGGGAUGUGUAAUGACAACGCUGAACAGGAAAAAUGGCACUCGGAUCCUGCGCUCUUCCCGCUCUAAUCUAUAUUUUACCACAUCUUUCUACCUAAUGAUACUUAUAACUGUUAAUAAAUGACUACUUAGGCAC